CCAGUGUUGUCGAGUGCGCCCUGUCCCCCAGGACCCCCUCAGGUCCUGUUCUCCUGUGCAGAUGUCGGUCUGCGCCUCCUCGCCCCGCUGAUGCCCUUCCUGGCAGAAGAACUUUGGCAGAGGCUGCCCCCCAGGCAAGGUGGCUCCAUGGCUCCCAGCAUCUGUGUGGCCCCCUACCCCAGUGGUCACAGCCUGGUGAGUCGUGGGCAGCCUUCCUCGGGGUGGCUGAAGGUUACUCCGUUACCCAUGAGGCUUUUCUCAUGGGAUUGCCAGCAAGCACCUACCUGCUGAGCGGUUUCCCCACCCCCACCGUCCUGGACUCCUCCCACCUCCUCUGCCCCCCAAGUGCUGGCAUUAGGCCCGAGUCACGGUGCCCGGCCCGGCUGUAUUUGAUACUAUGUCACUGAAUCGCUGUGAGUUAACAUUAUGCCCCAACCCAGGGUGUGGUGUGGCCAUUGUGAGUUUGAGACCAGCCUUAGUCCACAUAUUAAGUUCCAGGACAGCCCAGGAUACAAAGGGACCCCUGUCUCAAAAAGAGAAAAGAAAAUCUGGGGUUGGAGGGGUGGCUCAGUGGUGAAGAGAAUUUGUUCUUGCAGAAGACCUGGGUUCCGUUUCAACAUUGGUGGCUACAGCUGUCUGUAACUGCAAUUCCAGGGGAUCCAGCAGGCACACAUGUGUUGAUUUUGGGCCUCGUGUUUUGAUAGGGUUUAGAGUUCUAGCUUCAGUGAGAGUGGUUGGUGCCUUCAGAGUGAGUACAAACAUAGCCGCUGGUUGU
Molecule: long non-coding RNA, 775 nt
Filed under: Rattus norvegicus (Norway rat)
Lineage: Eukaryota; Metazoa; Chordata; Mammalia; Rodentia; Muridae
Description: long non-coding RNA NONRATT017058
Source: RNAcentral